RNAcentral lists this ribosomal RNA (458 nucleotides) under uncultured bacterium. Its description in RNAcentral is "partial 16S ribosomal RNA". It matches the Rfam family "Bacterial small subunit ribosomal RNA", at positions 338 to 795 of the family's 1533-position model. The record is from RNAcentral.
CCUACGGGGGGCAGCAGUGAGGAAUAUUGGUCAAUGGGCGAGAGCCUGAACCAGCCAAGUCGCGUGAAGGAUGAAGGAUCUAUGGUUUGUAAACUUCUUUUAUGGGAAUACAGUGAGGAACGUGUUCCUUGUUGUAUGUACCAUCUGAAUAAGCAUCGGCUAAAUCCGUGCCAGCAGCCGCGGUAAUACGGAGGAUGCGAGCGUUGUCCGGAUUUAUUGGGUUGAAAGGGUGCGUAGGUGGUUAAUUAAGUCAGCGGUGAAAGUUUGUGGCUGAACCAUACAUUUGCCGUUGAAACUGGUUGACUUGAGUAGAUUUGAGGUAGGCGGAAUGCGUGGUGUAGCGGUGAAAUGCAUAGAUAUCACGCAGAACCCCGAUUGCGAAGGCAGCUUACUAACCUAUAACUGACACUGAAGCACGAAAGCGUGGGGAUCAAACAGGAUUAGAUACCCGUGUAGUC